This 29-nucleotide non-coding RNA is filed under the name Bombyx mori (domestic silkworm). Lineage: Eukaryota; Metazoa; Arthropoda; Insecta; Lepidoptera; Bombycidae. The record is from RNAcentral.
UCAUUUCGUCAAUGAUAUGAUCGCUUUGC